This 251-nucleotide ribosomal RNA is filed under the name uncultured bacterium. RNAcentral describes it as "partial 16S ribosomal RNA". It matches the Rfam family "Bacterial small subunit ribosomal RNA", at positions 524 to 771 of the family's 1533-position model. The record is from RNAcentral.
UACGGAGGGUGCGAGCGUUGUCCGGAAUCAUUGGGCGUAAAGGGCGCGUAGGUGGCCCGGUCAGUUCGUGGUGAAAGCGCGGGGCUCAACCCUGCGUCGGCCAUGAAUACUGCCGCGGCUGGAGCACUGUAGAGGCAGGCGGAAUUCCGGGGUGUAGCGGUGGAAUGCGUAGAGAUCCGGAAGAACACCGGUGGCGAAGGCGGCCUGCUGGGCAGUUGCUGACACUGAGGCACGGAAGGCCAGGGGAGCAA